CGAGCCCGGAGAUAGCUGGUUCUCCCCGAAAUAGCUUUAGGGCUAGCCUCAAGGUGAGAGAUACGGAGGUAGAGCACUGAAUGUCCUAGGGGGUAUUGCACCUACCGAAGACUAUCAAACUCCGAAUGCCGUCAUCUUAUACUUGGGAGUCAGACUGUGGGUGAUAAGAUUCAUAGUCGAAAGGGCAACAGCCCAGAUCGUCAGCUAAGGUCCCUAAAUGUAAGUUAAGUGGUAAAGGAUGUGGGAUUGCACAGACAACCAGGAUGUUGGCUUAGAAGCAGCCACUCAUUCAAAGAGUGCGUAAUAGCUCACUGGUCGAGUGAUCCUGCGCCGAAGAUUUCCGGGGCUAAAACUUACUACCGAAGCUACGGCAUCAGUAAUGAUGGGUAGGGGAGCUUCCCAUACGGGUUGAAGCAUGACCGUAAGGACAUUUGGACAGUAUGGGAGUGUGAAUGUUGGGGUGAGUAACGAGAUGUGGGUGAGAAUCCCACAAGCCCUACACCCAAGACUUCCAGGGGAAGGUUCGUCCGCCCAGGGGUAAUCGGUACCUAAGCUUAUGCCGAAAGGCGUAGGGGUGGUCCAUCAUGUUGAAAUUCCUGUUCUACCGAUAAGGGUGUGAGGGAAGGAAUUGAACAGUAGGCUAUGCUGAGCACCCUGUUGGUUAUGCUUGCCCAAGCAUCGGGUCAGGACCAGUGGGGAAGACCGCGUUGGGAAUGCGGGG
Molecule: ribosomal RNA, 721 nt
Filed under: Clostridioides difficile
Lineage: Bacteria; Bacillati; Bacillota; Clostridia; Peptostreptococcales; Peptostreptococcaceae
Description: bacterial LSU rRNA
Rfam family: Bacterial large subunit ribosomal RNA
Source: RNAcentral